This is a long non-coding RNA of Periophthalmus magnuspinnatus, 370 nucleotides long. RefSeq lists it as uncharacterized. The transcript has 3 exons. The record is from RefSeq and is a predicted model, not a curated record. Lineage: Eukaryota; Metazoa; Chordata; Actinopteri; Gobiiformes; Gobiidae.
CAGAUGUGCAUCCUUCCUGAAAGUCCAAAAGCUCUACUUCUCUGUACCAGCACUUUUCUGACGCACACACAGCCUUCCAGGAGGAACUAAAAGGCUUGGAGGUGGGAGGGCUGGCCGCUAACAUUGACUGUCCCAGGUGUUACCAGGAGAGCACAAAACAUGGAGGUGGACGGGUCAUGAAUAAAAGUGUGGGCGUGCAGCAGAAGGUGGAAAACAACAGUGUAAUGAGAGUGGGCCACUGUAGACAUGAGGUCACUGGUGCAGAGCCUGAUUUAUACUGUUUUUUGGGCAGAUGCCAAGAAUAAGCUCACUUCUGGAACAUGCCAGGGAGUGUCCGUUGGAGACAUGUGUGGACCAGGACAACAGGUGC